AUCAGAAGACCUGCAUAACUCGGAUGGUAGAUACAACUGGUGGGAUUAGAGCAUUUGUCACUGACAGACAUAGAGGAAAUGGAUUUAAAGGAAGGAUCGCAUGUCCAGGGCAUGGCCAGUCGGUAAUGGAAUACGUGUACAGGGCAAGCUGCAAUUUAGUGUCACUGAGUUUGAGAACUAGGAAUGCAGCCAACUAUCUGGAAUUGCUAUGGGCAUUGCUUACAUUCAAUGCCGGCAUGGUGUAUAUUUAUAUACCCACUGUCCUGUUGCAAUUAUUUGUACAGUUUAUCAGUUGGG
This is a non-coding RNA of Pelobates cultripes (western spadefoot toad), 297 nucleotides long. The record is from the annotation of a GenBank genome assembly. NCBI's taxonomy places the organism in Eukaryota, Metazoa, Chordata, Amphibia, Anura, Pelobatidae.